Molecule: ribosomal RNA, 496 nt
Filed under: uncultured bacterium
Lineage: Bacteria
Description: partial 16S ribosomal RNA
Rfam family: Bacterial small subunit ribosomal RNA
Source: RNAcentral
GAUGAACGCUGGCGGCGUGCCUAAUACAUGCAAGUCGAGCGAACGGACGAGAAGCUUGCUUUUCUGAUGUUAGCGGCGGACGGGUGAGUAACACGUGGAUAACCUACCUAUAAGACUGGGAUAACUUCGGGAAACCGGAGCUAAUAUCGGAUAAUAUUUUGAACCGCAUGGUUCAAAAGUGAAAGACGGUCUUGCUGUCACUUAUAGAUGGAUCCGCGCUGCAUUAGCUAGUUGGUAAGGUAACGGCUUACCAAGGCAACGAUGCAUAGCCGACCUGAGAGGGUGAUCGGCCACACUGGAACUGAGACACGGUCCAGACUCCUACGGGAGGCAGCAGUAGGGAAUCUUCCGCAAUGGGCGAAAGCCUGACGGAGCAACGCCGCGUGAGUGAUGAAGGUCUUCGGAUCGUAAAACUCUGUUAUUAGGGAAGAACAUAUGUGUAAGUAACUGUGCACAUCUUGACGGUACCUAAUCAGAAAGCCACGGCGAACUACGG